RNAcentral lists this ribosomal RNA (378 nucleotides) under uncultured Pseudomonas sp. Its description in RNAcentral is "bacterial SSU rRNA". It matches the Rfam family "Bacterial small subunit ribosomal RNA", at positions 1008 to 1382 of the family's 1533-position model. The record is from RNAcentral. Lineage: Bacteria; Pseudomonadati; Pseudomonadota; Gammaproteobacteria; Pseudomonadales; Pseudomonadaceae.
AGGACGCUUCCUUCGGGAAGCGAGCGUACACAGGUGCUGCAUGGCUGUCGUCAGCUCGUGUCGUGAGAUGUUGGGUUAAGUCCCGUAACGAGCGCAACCCUUGUCCUUAGUUACCAGCACGUUAUGGUGGGCACUCUAAGGAGACUGCCGGUGACAAACCGGAGGAAGGUGGGGAUGACGUCAAGUCAGCAUGGCCCUUACGUCCGGGGCUACACACGUGCUACAAUGGCCGGUACAAAGGGUUGCGAAGCCGUGAGGUGGAGCGAAUCUCAAAAAGCCGGCCUCAGUUCGGAUUGGAGGCUGCAACUCGCCUCCAUGAAGUCGGAAUCGCUAGUAAUCGUAGAUCAGCACGCUACGGUGAAUACGUUCCCGGGCCUU